CCGAGUUUACAACUCCCAAACCCCUGUGAACAUACCUUUACUGUUGCCUCGGCGGAUCAGCCCGCGCCCCGUAAAACGGGACGGCCCGCCGCAGGAAACCCUAAACUCUGUUUUUAGUGGAACUUCUGAGUAUAAAAAACAAAUAAAUCA
Molecule: unclassified non-coding RNA, 150 nt
Filed under: soil metagenome
Description: partial internal transcribed spacer 1
Source: RNAcentral